This 503-nucleotide ribosomal RNA is filed under the name uncultured bacterium. Its description in RNAcentral is "partial 16S ribosomal RNA". It matches the Rfam family "Bacterial small subunit ribosomal RNA", at positions 30 to 523 of the family's 1533-position model. The record is from RNAcentral.
AUUGAACGCUGGCGGCAGGCUUAACACAUGCAAGUCGAGCGGGGUGAUGGUGCUUGCACUAUCACUUAGCGGCGGACGGGUGAGUAAUGCUUAGGAAUCUGCCUAUUAGUGGGGGACAACAUCUCGAAAGGGAUGCUAAUACCGCAUACGUCCUACGGGAGAAAGCAGGGGAUCACUUGUGACCUUGCGCUAAUAGAUGAGCCUAAGUCGGAUUAGCUAGUUGGUGGGGUAAAGGCCUACCAAGGCGACGAUCUGUAGCGGGUCUGAGAGGAUGAUCCGCCACACUGGGACUGAGACACGGCCCAGACUCCUACGGGAGGCAGCAGUGGGGAAUAUUGAACAAUGGGGGGAACCCUGAUCCAGCCAUGCCGCGUGUGUGAAGAAGGCCUUAUGGUUGUAAAGCACUUUAAGCGAGGAGGAGGCUCUUUUGGUUAAUACCCAAGAUGAGUGAACGUUACUCGCAGAAUAAGCACCGGCUAACUCUGUGCCAGCAGCCGCGGUAA